Molecule: ribosomal RNA, 346 nt
Filed under: uncultured bacterium
Lineage: Bacteria
Description: partial 16S ribosomal RNA
Rfam family: Bacterial small subunit ribosomal RNA
Source: RNAcentral
CCUACGGGAGGCAGCAGUGAGGAAUAUUGGUCAAUGGGCGCGAGCCUGAACCAGCCAAGUAGCGUGAAGGAUGACUGCCCUACGGGUUGUAAACUUCUUUUAUAAAGGAAUAAAGUGAGGCACGUGGGCCUUUUUGUAUGGACUUUAUGAAUAAGGAUCGGCUAACUCCGUGCCAGCAGCCGCGGUAAUACGGAGGAUCCGAGCGUUAUCCGGAUUUAGUGGGUUUAAAGGGAGCGUAGAGGGGUUGUUAAGUCAGUUGUGAAAGGUUGCGGCUCCACCGGAAAAUUCCAAUUGAUACUGGCAGCCUUGAGUACAGUUGAGGUCGGCGGAAUUCGUGGUGUAGCGG